GGGUACCCUUCUUUACUUGUUUUUAUUUUGUUGGUUUUUGCUUCUUCUAGGUUAAUUGUUCUUGAUUUCAAUGCUUUCAUUUCUUGCUUCUUCUUUUUUUGGUCCAGUUGUUUGAUUUAUUAUCUUGCUUGCUCAUCAGUAGAAUGUUUGAGUGUUUCUUACAGGUAGCUUUCCAUCUUUUAAGGUAGAAGGUAUAUUCAUUCAUUGCCAUUAUGGCCUAGUUGCAUUUAUUCUAUAUGCUUGUUCUUAUAUGUGUUAAUUAUAAAUGUUGAUAUAUCUUGUAGUAUGGGUAUUUCUUAUUAAAAAAACAUCUUGGUAUUAGACUAAAAUUUGUUUGACAACAGUGAUGACACAACAAUGAUCAAAAUGAUUUUUCUCUUCGUGGCUUUUACAUCUGACCUUUGAGGUAAGCAAAAACGGAUGAACGAGAAGACCUUUUCCCCCAAAACAUUUAAACCCACAAUUAUCACUGACUUCUCUUCUUCAGGCUUGAAGGCUUCGUUUGUACUAAAUCCUUCUGCUUAGGAUGCUUCAGUUCUGAAGCAGUUCUGAUUUUUUUUUUCCUUGGAUUGUUGGUAUUAUCAAACGCUAACUGGAACUUCAAGUUAACCGGAAAUAAGUACAUUUAAAUAGGUUAAAGAAAAACCAGAUUAGGCGUGCUACCUCAUGUACAUUAGUAUAUUGAGCUCUAAAUUGCUUAGUUACACAAGUCCACUAGUUGGUUGUUCUUUAUUGUAAUCUUACCUUCUUUGGUAGGACUCCAAUGAAUGGAAUAUGAUCGAGGGCCUUUUUUUCAAACCUUUGUUUGUGUAUGUAGAUGUGCCAGAUUUUGUUAUCUAUUUGUUUGAAAUUUGUCUCCUUAAGGACCUGUAGUACAUACGAUAAAUUGAUAAAUGAAAGAUGACCAUUUUCAUCGGCCCAUACUAGUGAUGAGAUUGAAUAUAUCUUCCCAACACAUUCAUGGCCUUGCUCUUGUUGUAACAUUCAGGCUUCCCAUCUUUUUCUUGUUUAUUCAAAAUUUGUUUCCACAACAAUUUGGUUUAUAAUUUUAUUCUAUCAAAAAGAAAAAAAAAAAAAAAAAAAGAAAGAAAAGAAAAAAAAAAGAAAGAAGAAGAAAAGAUCUCUUUAAGAAAUUUGGGGACUUUUAAGUGCUUUAUCCGAACAUCUCUCCAUUUGGAUCCUUGUGAUGGAGUAUCACUUAUGCUCAUAUCAACCCCAUAUUGGAUAAACCAUCUUGGGACUAUUCCCUGUAAUAGAAGCCUUCAUUCAGUGAGCAGGAGAACAAUGUGGUAAGUGUAAACCUAUCCCACAUAUAAAGUGGUCAGAUAGUUAACACCGUGUUCCCCUCCCAACAAUAUAUUCUUAGGUAAACCCACUUUAGCAUUAAUAUACAUAGGAACUGGUGAAGAGUCAGUUGACUCUGCAAAACCUGCAUACUUAACCACAUGAUCCGAAUGCUUGGCUUGCUUCAAUGGUUCAUGUGCGAUUGAUGGGUUUCCAACCUUACACAUACUGAAACUCACCGUACCUACUUGCCCCUUAUUAUUUUGAAGAUACCUUUAUUAUUUUUAAUCUUUUUCCUUCCUCCUUUAUAUGUGAGUAUCUAGGCUAGCUGAUGCACCUUGACUAAUCUCGCGAGGUCAUAUGCCUAAUUCUACAAGAACUGGAUGGUACAUUCAUGCUAAUAUACUCAUGAAUACCCUUCUCCUCCUAUAUUGCCUUGAUUUUACUUGCAACCCAACUUAGGUUUUUCUAAUGAUUCAUCUUCUUCAGUAGAAUUUGGCAUUCUCUUGGUUCAUGUGUGGCAAGCAAACUACGGUGCUCAACUUCUGCCAAGGGUGGAGGAGAGUUGAACACCUUGUCCUGCAUUUUAAGGUUAAUCAACUCUACCACCCAUGUACAUAGGAAGUGAUAAGGAGUCAUCUGCUGCCUAGCGACUCCUUCCAGAUUGCCCUAGUGAGAGUAUUAGCCAAAAUGCAUUUGAGGUGAAGUACUGAUUUAACAAAGACCUGCAAGUGAAGCACAAGCACCUACUUCCAUUAUGUUUGGAAUGCUGAGUUCACCAAAUAUUAUGAAGAAUACUUGGCAGAGCAGCCCUUGCUCCUAACCCAGAAGGAUGUCUUCUAAAUUAAGAUGGUGUAUCUCUUUGGUCUCCAGGCCAGCAAUUACUAGGGAAAAUAUCCUUUAGAGCUAGCCAUUCUAAUAGUCUAGGAGAAAAUAAAUUUUAAUGACUAAUUACCCAUUCAGAUAUUUUUUUCAAACAUGAUUGUUCUCUGUUGUCUAAUCCGAAAACGUUCCACCUUUCAGCCUUUUGGACUACAUGUGGAAAUGUGCUUCCAUAGGCUCUGAUUUUGCAGUUACUGCCUUGUUGAUUCUGUUUUCUGCACUUGUUCUAUAUUGUGUAAGAAACAAUAUCUCAAUGUACGUGUCCGUGGUUUGAUCAUCUUCAAGAGUUUCCGACCCAAUUUAGAUACUAGGGUUGUGACACUUCUUUCAGCUUCCUAGGCCAAUCCUUACACAUUACCAUGCUUAUCUGAGAUUUUUUUUAAGCUUAUGAGGUGGCUUCUUUCUUCAUCUUCAACUCCUUUCCAUUGAAAAUCCUUCAUUUCUUUCUUUAGAACCUUAACAACAUAACUGAGGAUAUACACGCACACAUAUAGACUAAUCAUUCAUCAAUGAAAUUUAUUUAUCUUUUCAAUAUACACACAUACACGCACACCACACACACAUAUUUAUAUAUAUUGACAAGAAACUGUUCCUCAUUAUGAGAUACAUUAAGGCUCUCUAAUUCGUCAAUUAGGUGAAAGUACUGGCUUUUCUGUUUUCUUGUAUGUAAACUACGACUAUUGGAGCUGCUGUGUCCAUAAAUUAGUGGAAGCUUUCUCAUAGUUAUUUCCAAUCCAAUAGUUUAGGCUAUGUGUUAGGAUACCAUUUGGUCCUUUAAGUUUUAACAUUUGACAGUUUAGUGCCUGAAGUUGGUCCUUGAAAAUUGAAGUUGCUGCAGUAUUGGUGAUACUAACAGAAAGUCACCAUUUAGUAAUACUAACAAAACCCAAUAUGUUAAAUGUUGACGUGUUAAUGCUAGAGAUGUUAAAUGCUCAUAUUGGAAUGCUUAUGUGGUCAAUUUUAGAUGUGGAAAGUUUUAAUAACUUUAUCACUAUUCUCUUUCGUGGCUUUUUUCCUUCUUCCUCUAAAAGCUAUACCUUCCCUUCAUCUCUCCCUCACUCUAUCAUCUCACUCAACUCUCUCUUCUUCUUUUCUGGGGGGUGGGGGCAGAUGUCUCUCCAUGCCUCUCGUCUCACUUCUGAGAAGACAAAUCUGUAGUGAGUAAGAGCUGCCUAAGAAAAAGCUCCCAAAGUUGUAAGCCAAAAUUGAGAUGUGCAAGGAUAAUGGAAAAAAUGAUGUGAAGGAUGCUCCAAGUCUGAAAAACAAAUCACACAGCACGAUGACGUGAUGUUGAGAGGAUAAGAGCUUUCAAACCACUGAAUAAAGGUUGCUCGAGUUAGGGACAAUAUUAUCAAUUAAUCACUCAUGAGAGAUUCAACUAUGAAUACUUGGGUGGAACUAAGAGGCCAUAGCCAAAGUUAUUCAUCGAACUUCGUAAAACUCACAAAAGAAGAAGGGAUUAACUAGGCCAUUCAAUCACCUCCAAAUUAUUCAAAUUUCAGCAGAGAUGUAGGUCCCACACAGCAUGAGAAGAUAUACAAGCCUGUGCAACUGUAAUAUUUGAACAAGUUAAUUGGCUAGCUGCACUUGUUGGAAGUGAAAAACAAAUUGAACCCAGGCUUACUCUGCACAUUAAAGAUGAGCCAAAUGCACUUAAUCUAUUCCAAAGUCGACAUUGUUCUUUCCAUGAGUGACUAAUUUACCUAACACAUCACCCACAGUCUCCGUUAAAGGGAAAAAAAAGGGAUAAAGGAAUCCCCUAGUUCCCAAAAUUCUUCAUUUUAUCAGCAGGAUUUUAUAGCCUUUUUCUUUCAGAAAUUUUGCAUCGAUUUUAUUUCACAUACCUUAAUAGUUACUUUUUUUUUUUUUUGAGAUGCUCAAGUGCAUUUGCUGAUCCUUAGGUUCUGUUUCUCUUCGUUUCCAUAUUGUAUUUUAAGCUUUUGUCUCAUUUCAUUAUCUUAAUAAAGAGACCCUCUUCUUUUAAACAUUGCCAUUUUUUAAAAAAUAGUUAUCAUUUUUUUUAAAAGUUAUUUUAGCACACAUUUUUUAAGUUCUAAAAUCUAGAACAUAUUUUUUAACAUUGCCAUUAUCACAUUGCUUCAAACAUCUUUUCAUUCUUUCUUCGUUGGGUCUGUCAGUUCACCCAUCUUAGCACCCAUCUUAGCCUUGCUGGCGAUUUUUACCAGACUGCCUGCAUUUUCUCAGUUCCAAACAUGUCAUCUUCCCAAUUUCGCUUUAGCGCCAAGAAUUUCAAUCUAAUUUUCUUCUUUUUUUAAAAAUAUUUGUGUGGGCUUCCCAAUUUCUGUUCAUUGUUUUCUUCUCAUAGUGAAUUUCUUGGACUAUCUUUUUUUAAGUUCUUGCAAAUGUUUUUUUUUUAAACGGAGACAAACUUCUUUAUUAAUAAUAAAACUGAAAGUAAAAGAGAGUUAUGCAAUGAGCGUAAUAAGGAAGCCUAGAGAGAAAUAAGCAAAAGGGGAUCAAAAGGUGCACAUGGACAUCUCAACUAGGUUGACACCCCUUUAGCACUAAAACAUGCGUUACUUGUUUUCUUGUAUUCACAACUUUUGAUAAUCAAUAAAAUUCUCUCAUUUGGUAUAUACGCCAUAAUCAAUAGUUAUCAAAGACAAUCACUCUAUUUAUAGAGAAUUGGAAAGAAAACUACUCCUAAUUUUAAUCUUCACUAAUCAAAGAAACUAAUCCUUUUCCUAAUCAAUCAUGGAGACUAAUCUUAAUCCUAAUGAACUAAAGAUUUGAGGAAGAUAGCCUAAUUUACCGUAGCCUUACUACAUCAUCCUACCCUUAAAAAAAAUUGUCCUUGAGUUUCAUGUUAGAAUUAGUGGCCUUGGCUCAAGGAAGGAUUUACCCUAAUAUUCUUUCCUUUUUUAUUAUAAGCUAUAAGCUAUUUAUUUUUCCUUUUGUAUCUUUUGUUAAUAUGAGAAAUUAAAAAGAAAGUCAAUCGUAGUUUUUCUCUCGGUACUUGGGUUUCCAUGUAACUCGGUGUCUACUUUACUUUAGCGCUUUUAACAUGGUAUUAGAGCGAGGUAAAGACGAAACACUAGACACAAGUGUAGACGAAACCCAAACAGAGACAGCUGCCUUGGGAUCGCUGCUGCUAUGAAAAAGUUGCUCCACCAGCUUCAGAGGACGUUGGCAAUUAGAGUGGGCCUAACCUUGGAAUCAGUCGUGCAACCUAGUGGCAGAAACUAACCACACGCGCUUCAAUUAGCCUCCCACGCGUUGUCAUUACCAGGCGCGUACGCUCACGUACCGCCACCCAAUGCCUCCACUGCUCAACCAGUCUACUCCCACCUGUAUUCCCAAGUCCAGCCGCAAUACCCUUCUGGUAAUCCGCAUCUCCACCGUCGUCGCCGCCCUCAAUUUAUGGAUGCCAUCGUUUCAUGCACUGCUGUCAUUUGAUUCUUUAUAGCAGCUGCAUGUCCAUGGUACUGGGAUCUAUCAAGUCCAUAAUGGAUUAGGGUUUGAAGUUGGUGAAUCUUGAGCGCAAUCCAAACCAACCGACUUGCCAAUGUAUUUCAAGAACUCGGUAACUUCGCUCCUUAACUUGUCCUCAAAUUAUAUAACAAGUUCUCUGAUAACAUCUAUAGGUGCCUUUCCAGGAUAGAAGCUGAAUGGCCAGAAUUACUUUUUCUGGUCUUAAUCUAUCAAGAUGUUUCUCGAGGGUCGUCACCAAUUCAGUUUUAUUAUAGGGGAGACUCUUUGUCCCUCGCUUGGCGAUGCCUUGAAACGUUUUUGGAGAGGGGAUUAUCCAGUCCAUGUUGAUUAAUAGUAUGGAACCACAAAUAGGCAAGCCUCUGCUUUAUGCAGCAACUGCGAAGGAUCUAUGGGACACAACUUAGAAACUUUAUUCAAAACGUCAGAACACUUCUUGUUUGUAUACACUGAGGAAACAAGUCCAUGAUUGUAUUCAAAACGUUAGAAUUAGUGGGCUUGACCUAAUGAAGGAUUUACCCUAAUAUUUUUUCCUUUUUUUAAUCAUAAGUUGUAACCUAUUUAUCUUCCCUCUUGUAUCUUUUGUUAAUAUGAGAAAUUAAUAAGAAACUCAAUCGUGGUUUUUCUCCCGGUACUUGAGUUUCCACAUAACUCGGUGUCUACUUUACUUUAUCACUUCUAACAUUUUGAAAUGUAAAUCACAAGCAUAAACCAAACAGUUCCCAUAUGGCCGGUCGGGAGUCUUUGUUGCUUGCUAGCUUGCUCUUACUUUACCUUUGCCUGAAAAAGUUAAAGAUAAGUAGAUUAGUAAUGACCUAAGCUUGGUUUUGAAAAAUUCGGGUCGUUACAUUUAUAUUCUGACAUUUGGUUGGAUCAUUACCCUAAGAAAAUAAAAAAUUUCUUUUGGGAGUUUAGCAUCGGUGCCAUUUAUAUUGCUGAUCAUUUCCAACAUCGUAUGUCAUAUAUGUACAUCUCUAGAUCAUUGUGUGUCAAGACCGUGUUGAAUCCCCUACCCAUCUGUUUGUUCACAUUUCUCUUGCCUACCAUUUCUAGCAUAUUAUGUUGGAUGCUUUUUAGCUAGUUAUCCACCUGGUCUAAUAAUAUAUUUGUCAUCCUUGCAUCCCUCUUCUUAGGACAUUCGUUUAUUGGCACAUGUAAAAUGGCUUGGUUGGCUAUUCUUCUAGCUUUUUUUUUUUUUU
Molecule: long non-coding RNA, 6815 nt
Organism: Cucumis sativus (cucumber)
Lineage: Eukaryota; Viridiplantae; Streptophyta; Magnoliopsida; Cucurbitales; Cucurbitaceae
Exons: 2
Source: RefSeq, a predicted model, not a curated record